This 2005-nucleotide long non-coding RNA is filed under the name Homo sapiens (human). RNAcentral describes it as "HSALNT0333478". Lineage: Eukaryota; Metazoa; Chordata; Mammalia; Primates; Hominidae. The record is from RNAcentral.
CCUCUAGCCACUUCCGGUUGCUAACGGUUCCCAAACAGCCCCCGAAAACGCUACGUGAGCUGGGCCCUGGGCCAGAGGCAGAAAACGGACGGAAGAAAAGGUCUGGCCGAUGGAGUUUCUGCUCUUGUUGCCCAGGCUGGAGUAUAAUGGCACGAUGAUCUCGGCUCACCGCAACCUCCGCCUCCUGGGUUCAAGCAAUUUUCCUGCCUCAGCUUCCUGAGUAGCUGGGAUUACAGGCAUGCACCACCAGGCCUGGCUAAUUUUGUAUUGUUAGUAGAGACCCUGACCAUGAUGGUCGGGAUGGUCUGGAACUCCCGACCUCAGAUGAUCCACCCACCUCGGCCUCCCAAAGUGCUGGGAUUACAGGCUUGAGCCACUGUGCCCGGCCACAUGUAGCAUUUCUAAGUAGAAUUUUAUUGUGUAUGAUGUGGAAGAGUCGUAGAAAUCUGAUUAUUUUCCUAUAGAGCAGGGGUUCUCAACUGGGGGUGAUUUUGCCUCUCAGGGGACAUUUGCCUCACUCAGCCUGCCCACCAAAUUGCCUGGAGACAUUUUUGGAUAUCACAAGUGGGAAGUGCUAGUGACAUCUAGUGGGUAGACGCCAGGGAUACUGCUAAACAUCCUACAGUGCAGAGGACAGCCCCUACAUCAAAGAAUUGUCUGGCCCAGAAUGUCAAUAGAAAUAGUUUCUCAAGGUUGAGAAACCUUGCUCUAGAGGAUCUGAAUAAGAAAGACUGACAUACCCACUCUUUUAAAACCUCAGCCUAACUCCCUUGUGAUAUUACCAUGGGAAAAACAGGUUGUUUUGAAGCAUUUCAGUUUCCAUUUGUUUCCACUGUUGAUGGAUUUUGUGAUCAGACUAAAAUAGAAUAAUUUCAUGCUCAAGAUGAGAAUGUAGACCAUUUAAUAAAGAUAAUAUAGUGUGUGCUGUACACGUAAGACUCAAAGCACCUUGGGAUCAGGAGCUGGUCUUUUUACCUUUAUAUGGCUUGUAUCAUAUGAUCCACUGUCUCCAACAAUUGAUGCCAAUAUAUUAGAAUCACUUGUCUAUCUUUCCUAUCUCCAUCCCUUGUUUUAUAGUUGUUCCUCUUUUCAUCCUUUUCUUUUCAUCAAAUUAUUAUCUUUUCAUCCCUUUCUCAUUUUCCCCCUCUUCAUCAAUACCCACUGAUACCUCCUAUAGACCCUCCCUCAACACUCAUCUAUUUCUUCCAUUCAUACCUGUUGACACCCUUACUUAGAAUUGCCAGUUCACUACCAACCCAUCUGUGUCUGAGAGAGCUGUCCCCCAUAUUCCCUAUAGCUGUCUGUUGUAAUUACUGUCUUGUUAGUCCACGAAACUACAAAAUAUAAAUUCUUGCCUCCUCCCUCAGAAAAAAAAAACCCUCCAAAAAGAUAUGAAGAACAAUAACACAUUUGCUUUUGACACAACUCUCUGAGGAACUGCUUUCCAUGUUCAGGUUUUUUUUUUGUUUUGUUUUGUAUUUUUUUUUUUCAGACCAGGUGCUGUCCAUUCAGGAUAGCUCUCUGCUAGAACUGAUAGUGUCCAACAUAUUACACCUCCUCUUCCAAGAAGUGUGGCUGUGAUUGAGCUGUGUUCUUUCCAACUAGUUGCACUCCCACCAGUUUCUUCUGUGGGUUUCUACAUGCUUACUAAGACAUUGCCUGCAUCUCCAGAGUACCAGCAACUACUUAGAUUUUCUUUGACCUCAUGCCUCUUUUGCCUUUUGCCUGCAGUUAUCCUAGAUCCCACUGACUGUUCUUCUCUUACCUACAUCAUUCUAGGCUGUCUCUGGCCCCAUGUCUUUAUGUCCCUCCCUGACUCUUACCAUUACCCUUCUGGUUAACAUUAGACCAAACCUGUGGUGGGCACUGUGGUGGCAAUUUGGAAUCAACAUAAAACCUAAAAAGGGUACAAUGGUUAUAGUGCUCCAGACUACUCUUCACUCAGCCUUUAAGGGUGCAGGACUCUAAGACUAGAACAGUUCUUUGUACAUAAUAGGUAUUCAAA